CUUCAGUUGUUCUGGUGUGAGAGCGGCAUAUCCCUGUCAUGGUGAUGCGGUGGAGGUGGGAUGGAGGUGUGAUGGGCUGGAGGUAGGAUGGAGGUGUGAUGGGCUGGAGGUAGGAUGGAGGUGCGAUGGGCUGGAGGUAGGAUGGAGGUGCGAUUAGCUGGAGGUAGGAUGGAGGUGCGAUGGGCUGGAGGUAGGAUGGAGGUGUGAUGGGCUGGAGUUAGGAUGGAGGUGUGAUGGGUUGGAGGUAGGAUGGAGGUAGGGUGGAGGUGUGAUGGGCUGGAGGUAGGGUGGAAGUGCGAUGGGCUGGAGGUAGGGUGGAGGUGCGAUGGGCUGGAUGUAGGAUGGAGGUAGGAUGGAGGUGUGAUGGGCUGGAGGUAGGGUGGAGGUGCGAUGGGCUGGAUGUAGGAUGGAGGUGCAAUGGGCUGGAGGUAGGAUGGAGGUGCGAUGGGCUGGAGUUAGGAUGGAGGUGCGAUUAGCUGGAGGUAGGAUGGAGGUGUGAUGGGCUGGAGGUAGGAUGGAGGUGCGAUGGGCUGGAGGUAGGAUGGAGGUGUGAUGGGCUGGAGUUAGGAUGGAGGUGUGAUGGGUUGGAGGUAGGAUGGAGGUAGGGUGGAGGUGUGAUGGGCUGGAGGUAGGGUGGAGGUGUGAUGGGCUGGAGAUAGGAUGGAGGUGUGAUGGGCUGGAGGUAGGGUGGAGGUGCGAUGGGCUGGAUGUAGGAUGGAGGUGCGGUGGGCUGGAGGUAGGAUGGAGGUGCGAUAAGCUGGAGGUAGGAUGGAGGUGUGAUGGGCUGGAGGUAGGAUGGAGGUGCGAUGGGCUGGAGGUAGGAUGGAGGUGUGAUGGGCUGGAGGUAGGGUGGAGGUGUGAUGGGCUGGAGAUAGGAUGGAGGUGUGAUGGGCUGGAGUUAGGAUGGAGGGGCGAUGGGCUGGAGGUAGGAUGGAGGUGUGAUGGGUUGGAGGUAGGAUGGAGGUGUGAUGGGCUGGAGGUAGGGUGGAGGUGUGAUGGGCUGGAGGUAGGAUGGAAGUGUGAUGGGCUGGAGUUAGGAUGGAGGUGUGAUGGGCUGGAGGUAGGAUGGAGGUGUGAUGGGCUGGAGGUAGGGUGGAGGUGUGAUGGGCUGGAGGUAGGAUGGAGGUGUGAUGGGCUGGUGGUAGGAUGGAGGUGUGAUGGGCUGGCGGUAGGAUGGCGGUAGGAUGGGGAUGGUGGCCGAUGGGAAAU
Esox lucius (northern pike) is the source of this 1209-nucleotide long non-coding RNA. RefSeq lists it as uncharacterized. The transcript has 4 exons. The record is from RefSeq and is a predicted model, not a curated record. NCBI's taxonomy places the organism in Eukaryota, Metazoa, Chordata, Actinopteri, Esociformes, Esocidae.